Molecule: long non-coding RNA, 216 nt
Filed under: Elaeis guineensis (African oil palm)
Lineage: Eukaryota; Viridiplantae; Streptophyta; Magnoliopsida; Arecales; Arecaceae
Description: long non-coding RNA (EGUI_LNC006815)
Source: RNAcentral
AUCUUCAGUUUGACAAUCUUUUAUCCCUUUUUGGUUUUGGACUAACCCAGACCAUACCUCAAUCUCUUUCCAAUCCAAUUUUUUUUUUCAUAUAAGCCUUUCAAGGCUGUCCCAGGAUGAGCUCCUGACUGGCUGUCCCACGUACAAAAGUCCGUGAGAGACUGUCGCAGGCAUAAGCUCCCGACGGACUGUUCCAGGUAUGAGCUCCUGGCCGGC